GNCGAGCGAGCGGGAANNNNNCNAAUUUAUAAUCUGGCACCUUCGGUGUCCGAGUUGUAAUCUCUAGAAGUGUUUUCCGCGUUGGACCGCACACAAGUCUGUUGGAAUACAGCGGCAUAGUGGUGAAACCCCCGUAUAUGGUGCGGACGCCCAGCGCUUUGUGAUACACUUUCAAUGAGUCGAGUUGUUUGGGAAUGCAGCUCAAAUUGGGUGGUAAAUUCCAUCUAAAGCUAAAUAUUGGCGAGAGACCGAUAGCGAACAAGUACCGUGAGGGAAAGAUGAAAAGNNNNUUGGAAAGAGAGUUAACAGUACGUGAAAUUGUUGGAAGGGAAACGCUUGAAGUCAGACUUGCUUGCCGGAGCUUGCUUCGGUUUGCAGGCCAGCAUCAGUUUUCCGGGGUGGAUAAUGACGGUUUGAAGGUAGCAGUCUCGGCUGUGUUAUAGCUUUCCGUUGGAUACAUCCUGGGGGACUGAGGAACGCAGCGUGCUUUUUGCGAAAGACUCGUCUUUUUCACGCUUAGGAUGCUGGUGGAAUGGCUUUAAACNANCCGUCUUGAAACACGANNCA
Molecule: ribosomal RNA, 567 nt
Filed under: Rhodotorula glutinis
Lineage: Eukaryota; Fungi; Basidiomycota; Microbotryomycetes; Sporidiobolales; Sporidiobolaceae
Description: partial 26S ribosomal RNA
Rfam family: Eukaryotic large subunit ribosomal RNA
Source: RNAcentral